CCUCGAUGGCGACCGGCGCACGGGUGAGUAACGCGUAUCCAACCUUCCCCCUCGCUCAGGGAUAGCCCGGUGAAAACCGGAUUAAUACCUGAUGGUUUCAUUUGACGGCAUCAGAUGAUGAAUAAAGAAAUUCGGCAGGGGAGUGGGGAUGCGUCUGAUUAGCUUGUUGGCGGGGUAACGGCCCACCAAGGCAACGAUCAGUAGGGGUUCUGAGAGGAAGGUCCCCCACAUUGGAACUGAGACACGGCCCAAACUCCUACGGGAGGCAGCAGUGGGGGAUAUUGCACAAUGGAGGAAACUCUGAUGCAGCGAACCGCCGCGUGAGUGAAGAAGUAUUUCGGUAUGUAAAGCUCUAUCAGCAGGGAAGAUAAUGACAGUACCUGACCAAGAAGCCCCGGCUAACUACGUGCCAGCAGCGGC
RNAcentral lists this ribosomal RNA (420 nucleotides) under uncultured bacterium. RNAcentral describes it as "bacterial SSU rRNA". It matches the Rfam family "Bacterial small subunit ribosomal RNA", at positions 83 to 518 of the family's 1533-position model. The record is from RNAcentral.